RNAcentral lists this ribosomal RNA (350 nucleotides) under Oxymeris felina. Its description in RNAcentral is "partial 12S ribosomal RNA". It matches the Rfam family "Bacterial small subunit ribosomal RNA", at positions 870 to 1384 of the family's 1533-position model. The record is from RNAcentral. Lineage: Eukaryota; Metazoa; Mollusca; Gastropoda; Neogastropoda; Terebridae.
UACCAGAGUACUAUGAAUAAUAUAAAAAUUUAAAACUCAAAGAACUUGGCGGUGUUUUAGACCACUCAGGGGAACCUGUCUCGUAAUCGACAAUCCACGUUGUACCUGACCUUUUUUUGUUUUCAGUUUGUAUACCGUUGUCGUCAGGUAACUUUUUAGAAAGUAGAAGUUGGCUAUAGAAACAUGGUGAUUUAAGACGUCAAAUCAAGGUGCAGCUAAUAAAAAGGGGAGGAUGGGUUACAGUUAUAUAGUUAUAAUUACGGAUAUCUAUGUGGAAGCAUAGGUUAUGAAGGAGGACUUGAAAGUAAAUUGAAUUAUGAAAGCAGUUUGAAUAAGGCUCUGAAACGUGU